CUUCAUUUCUAUACCACAGAUAGCUAUGUGUACUUGUACAAAUUAUUUCACUUCCUAGAGCCCAAGUUUCCUCAUGUGUAAAAUGGGGAUGAUGAUAAGGAUGUCUACUUGUUAGCAUUGUUAUAAGAAUUACAUUAGAUAACAUACAAAUGCACUAACCGUGGUACCUGGUCUGUAGUGAUCACCAUAUAUAUUAUGUAUGAAUUACUCUUAUUAUCAUUUUUGUUGUUAUUGCUUGGCGAAUCAAGUGCCUAUUCAGUGUCUUUGGUGCUGAGUUUUUUUUCAGUAUUUUUGCAUCUUGCAAAAAUGCAAUAUUAUAACGUUUUUGUUUACAGACGGGGCCAUUCUGUCAAUGGAAGUAAAAUAAAUCAUUUGGCUCUGAUCAUGAGCUUUUCUCCUUCUAAAUUAAGAAAUCAUACCAAAGAGCAUAGCAAAGAGCAAAGCAAAGGCAUUGCUAUAUCUGAUGAAACUGGUCUGCCAAUAUGUGUUUCUCAUCGUUUCCUAACUGAAGCUCCAGAUUUAAUGAAACUGGAAAGAGGUACGUGCCUCAAAUGGAAAUUUUUCAAGUUCCGUUAUGGAGAGUGGCAUUGA
Molecule: long non-coding RNA, 591 nt
Organism: Callithrix jacchus (white-tufted-ear marmoset)
Lineage: Eukaryota; Metazoa; Chordata; Mammalia; Primates; Cebidae
Source: Ensembl